RNAcentral lists this ribosomal RNA (360 nucleotides) under Tectarius striatus. RNAcentral's name for it is "partial 12S ribosomal RNA". The record is from RNAcentral. Lineage: Eukaryota; Metazoa; Mollusca; Gastropoda; Littorinimorpha; Littorinidae.
CUAGACGUAAAUCAACUCCGUUUACCAGAGUACUACGAAUUAUAAAUUUAAAACUCAAAGAGCUUGGCGGUGCUUUAGACUUUUCAGGGGAACCUGUCCCGUAAUCGACAAUCCACGAAACAACCUCACCUCUUUUCGCACUCAGUAUGUAUACCGUCGUCGCCAGGUAACUUCUAAAAAUACAGCAGUUAGCAAAGAAGCUAUUAGCUUCUACGUCAGAUCAAGGUGCAGCUUAUAUAGAGGAGCGGAUGGGUUACAAUUAUUUAUUCAUAAUAACGGAUAUUAACUUUAACAGUUUUUUGAAGGCGGACUUGAAAGUAAACUUUAGCAGUCAAAUAUUUUGAAUCAAGCUCUGAAGCG